AUGAUGGAAGACAAUGAAGAAGAAGAGGACGACGACAGCUAUCCUGGCCAUGGGUUCCCUGAAUACGAUGAUACAACAAUGGGGGAAGAAGCUGAGCCGGCAAUGCGGGAAGAAGCUGAAGAAGAGCCAUCAGAUGAGCCCGCUGAUGAUCUAGGUCGGGCUAUUCCCGAUGCAAAGAGAAACUGCGCAAGUGAUUUGGAGAAGAAGAAGUUGCAGCACAUGUUAGAGGAUCACAAGAAAUUGUUGUACCCGAAUUACGAAGCUGACAAAAAAAAGUUGGGCACCACACUGGAAUUGCUGCAAUGGAAGGCAAAGAAUGGUGUAUCUGACAAGGGAUUUGGAAAGUUGCUGGUAAUGAUAAAGAAUAUGCUUCCAAAGGACAACGAAUUGCCCGAGAGUACGUACAAAGCAAAGAAGGUUGUCUGCCCUCUAGGGUUAGAGGUGCAGAAGAUACAUGCA
RNAcentral lists this ribosomal RNA (459 nucleotides) under Triticum aestivum (bread wheat). Its description in RNAcentral is "partial small subunit ribosomal RNA". The record is from RNAcentral. Lineage: Eukaryota; Viridiplantae; Streptophyta; Magnoliopsida; Poales; Poaceae.